UGCUGGAGGUAUCAGAAGUGCGAAUGCUGACAUAAGUAACGAUAAAGCGGGUGAAAAGCCCGCUCGCCGGAAGACCAAGGGUUCCUGUCCAACGUUAAUCGGGGCAGGGUGAGUCGACCCCUAAGGCGAGGCCGAAAGGCGUAGUCGAUGGGAAACGGGUUAAUAUUCCCGUACUUGGUGUUACUGCGAAGGGGGGACGGAGAAGGCUAUGUUGGCCGGGCGACGGUUGUCCCGGUUUAAGCGUGUAGGCUGGUUUUCCAGGCAAAUCCGGAAAAUCAAGGCUGAGGCGUGAUGACGAGGCACUACGGUGCUGAAGCAACAAAUGCCCUGCUUCCAGGAAAAGCCUCUAAGCAUCAGGUAACAUCAAAUCGUACCCCAAACCGACACAGGUGGUCAGGUAGAGAAUACCAAGGCGCUUGAGAGAACUCGGGUGAAGGAACUAGGCAAAAUGGUGCCGUAACUUCGGGAGAAGGCACGCUGACACGUAGGUGAAGUGAUUUACUCAUGGAGCUGAAGUCAGUCGAAGAUACCAGCUGGCUGCAACUGUUUAUUAAAAACACAGCACUGUGCAAACACGAAAGUGGACGUAUACGGUGUGACGCCUGCCCGGUGCCGGAAGGUUAAUUGAUGGGGUCAGCGCAAGCGAAGCUCCUGAUCGAAGCCCCGGUAAACGGCGGCCGUAACUAUAACGGUCCUAAGGUAGCGAAAUUCCUUGUCGGGUAAGUUCCGACCUGCACGAAUGGCGUAAUGAUGGCCAGGCUGUCUCCACCCGAGACUCAGUGAAAUUGAACUCGCUGUGAAGAUGCAGUGUACCCGCGGCAAGACGGAAAGACCCCGUGAACCUUUACUAUAGCUUGACACUGAACAUUGAGCCUUGAUGUGUAGGAUAGGUGGGAGGCUUUGAAGUGUGGACGCCAGUCUGCAUGGAGCCGACCUUGAAAUACCACCCUUUAAUGUUUGAUGUUCUAACGUGGACCCGUGAUCCGGGUUGCGGACAGUGUCUGGUGGGUAGUUUGACUGGGGCGGUCUCCUCCUAAAGAGUAACGGAGGAGCACGAAGGUUGGCUAAUCCUGGUCGGACAUCAGGAGGUUAGUGCAAUGGCAUAAGCCAGCUUGACUGCGAGCGUGACGGCGCGAGCAGGUGCGAAAGCAGGUCAUAGUGAUCCGGUGGUUCUGAAUGGAAGGGCCAUCGCUCAACGGAUAAAAGGUACUCCGGGGAUAACAGGCUGAUACCGCCCAAGAGUUCAUAUCGACGGCGGUGUUUGGCACCUCGAUGUCGGCUCAUCACAUCCUGGGGCUGAAGUAGGUCCCAAGGGUAUGGCUGUUCGCCAUUUAAAGUGGUACGCGAGCUGGGUUUAGAACGUCGUGAGACAGUUCGGUCCCUAUCUGCCGUGGGCGCUGGAGAACUGAGGGGGGCUGCUCCUAGUACGAGAGGACCGGAGUGGACGCAUCACUGGUGUUCGGGUUGUCAUGCCAAUGGCACUGCCCGGUAGCUAAAUGCGGAAGAGAUAAGUGCUGAAAGCAUCUAAGCACGAAACUUGCCCCGAGAUGAGUUCUCCCUGAGACUUAGAGUCUCCUGAAGGAACGUUGAAGACGACGACGUUGAUAGGCCGGGUGUGUAAGCGCAGCGAUGCGUUGAGCUAACCGGUACUAAUGAACCGUGAGGCUUAACCUUACAACGCCGAAG
This 1686-nucleotide ribosomal RNA is filed under the name Salmonella enterica subsp. enterica serovar Infantis. RNAcentral's name for it is "partial 23S ribosomal RNA". It matches the Rfam family "Bacterial large subunit ribosomal RNA", at positions 1271 to 2925 of the family's 2925-position model. Lineage: Bacteria; Pseudomonadati; Pseudomonadota; Gammaproteobacteria; Enterobacterales; Enterobacteriaceae. The record is from RNAcentral.